RNAcentral lists this ribosomal RNA (253 nucleotides) under uncultured bacterium. RNAcentral describes it as "partial 16S ribosomal RNA". It matches the Rfam family "Bacterial small subunit ribosomal RNA", at positions 524 to 776 of the family's 1533-position model. The record is from RNAcentral.
UACAGAGGUCCCGAGCGUUGUUCGGAUUCAUUGGGCGUAAAGGGUGCGUAGGCGGCAAUGUAAGUCAGGCGGGAAAUCUUGGGGCUCAACCCCAAAAGUUCGCUUGAUACUGCAAUGCUAGAGUACUGGAGAGGAGACUGGAAUUCACGGUGUAGCAGUGAAAUGCGUAGAUAUCGUGAGGAAGGCCAGUGGCGAAAGCGAGUCUCUGGACAGUUACUGACGCUGAGGCACGAAGGCUAGGGGAGCAAACGGG